Molecule: long non-coding RNA, 947 nt
Filed under: Junco hyemalis (dark-eyed junco)
Lineage: Eukaryota; Metazoa; Chordata; Aves; Passeriformes; Passerellidae
Description: lncRNA (ENSJHYG00000016067.1)
Source: RNAcentral
GAAUUUGAAAUGUGACCUCCAAGAGAGAAGACAAAGUUAUAGGGAGAGCUCAGAGCCCUUCCAGUGCCUAAAGGGGCUUCAGCAGAGCUGGAGAGGACAAGGGAUGGAGGGACAGGACACAGGGAAUGGCUCCCACUGCCAGGCAGGGACAAAUGGGAUAUUGGGAAGGACUCCUGGCUGUGAGGGUGGGCAGGCCCUGGCACAGGGUGCCCAGAGAAGCUGUGCCAUGGAGAGGUUUGUGCUGAGUCACAAGUGUUGAAGCUCUGAUCCAACCCUGUCAUGUUUUAGGACAGCACUGGAUUGUUUUCAUGGCAGUCUGGGAUGGAGGGAUAUUCAAGGUACCACCCCCUCAUGGAUAGUUGCAUCAGCAGAAGGAUGCUGCAUCCUUGUGUUCUUUAACUGAUGUCUAUGUCUCCCUUAUAAUCACACUGUAAUUUCAUUUUUUCCCCUAGUUUUGGCUCUGCCAAGCUUUUCUGCUUCCCUCUGAAGACAGGAGUCUCAGCAGAUCUCAGCCUCCUGUUGCUGUAGUAGCAAACAGCAUCUGAUUUUUCCUUCUGGCUUUGAAUAUUCUCCUUGUUGUCUUGGAAGCAUCUUGCUUUGGAAUCACCAUUCCAUUCCCCUUCACAGCCCACCUAUUCUGGAAGGGAGCAUCAAAAGGUGACAUUUUUCUUCCAUCUGACCUGUUCAGAUGGUGCCAUGUGUGCUGGAGGAGGAAAAGGAAGAGGAAAAGAUCUGAUUGCUGUGGAGCACAUUCCCCAUGCAUGGCAUCAUCCAGAAUUAAGCUGGAAAGGCCUUUUCCUGGUGCAUUUAGAGGCUCACAGGCAUGUUUAGUUUUGGGAGCAGUCAUGCACUUGGCAGUAAGAGCAGCAGAUAUGGAUCCUGGAGCAAGGGAAGCUCCGUGGCUGUGGGAUGGGAUCUGCCAGCUGAGUCACACGAAGCACAUCUGA